This 1072-nucleotide long non-coding RNA is filed under the name Numida meleagris (helmeted guineafowl). Its description in RNAcentral is "lncRNA (ENSNMEG00000010933.1)". The record is from RNAcentral. Lineage: Eukaryota; Metazoa; Chordata; Aves; Galliformes; Numididae.
AGUAACAGCUGAAGUUCAAAGGGGACUGAGCGCAGAUCAUCGCUCCCCAUGUCCGAAUGCAGAAUGCAAGCUGCAGGCUGCCCCUCAUGACAGCUAAUGAACCAGGUUGCAAGCACGGAACGAUGCUGUUACAGCCAUUUGUAAAUGCCUUUUAGCCAACAUCAAAAGCAGCCUUUUAUUGAUGACGUUAAUACCAAGUGCGUUGGAUGAUGAAUUCACAUUUUAGUUAGUUUGCAGCUGGGGAAGUAUCUUCUGGGGAUCAUCUUGGGCAUUCCAGAAGAGCAUUCCUCAAAAGAAAUCUUGUUCCAUCCUACAUUUGUCACAUAUUCACUGCUAAACAGGAAGGCACUGCAGUGCCAUCCUGGACAGGCAUGAACGUACACCUUCAAACCCCUCUGUAAUUUAUGCUGCAGGUGAUGCUGCUCCGUCUCUCCAAGCCUGCACGGUACAACGUGAAACCGCAGAGUCGCAGCUGUGUGUCCUUUAGGGUGCACGAUGAGGAAGGGGCAGAGCUGCAAGGCGCUACCUUGGGAGCAUGAGAACGACGACUGCCUUCAGCCCAUCUUCCUCCUCCCGUCCUGGAAACAGGGAAGGUUCAGCUGAGCGCUGGCGCGGGGCUCCACACCGCAUUACAGAUCACGUCUUUGAGGAGGACUCUUUGUUUCUUAUUUGUCUCCAACUUUGAGAUCAGUAUCAGCUGACUUCUGCGAGAACAAAGCUCGAAACAUAAAGGUUUCUCAGAAGGAGGAGGGUUUGGGGGUUUGUUUUGUUGGGGUUUUUUUUUUGCAGUAACCAAGGCGCAAAUAAUAAUACCUUCAGCUUCUUGGGGAUAAAUGAGCGCUAACUUAACUAAUUGGUCAGGCUGCGUGUGAAGAACUUGCAAAUAUCUUCCAGAAAAUGAUUCUUAUGGAAGCCACCACCCGCAGCAGAAGUCUUUGGGCUCCGUUGAAACGCGCUCAUUUUUCAUGGCCGCAGAUGCUCGGCAGCUGCACGGGAACACAUCAGUGGUUGGAGCUGUCGAAACAUAACUGACAAUCAGUCUGCUGGGAAAAUAAAAUAAAGGAGCUAAUCC